This 393-nucleotide ribosomal RNA is filed under the name uncultured bacterium. Its description in RNAcentral is "partial 16S ribosomal RNA". It matches the Rfam family "Bacterial small subunit ribosomal RNA", at positions 523 to 918 of the family's 1533-position model. The record is from RNAcentral.
AUACGGAGGAUGCAAGCGUUAUCCGGAUUUAUUGGGUUUAAAGGGUGCGUAGGCGGUUUGCUAAGCGGGAGGUGAAAUGCCGGCGCUCAACGUCGGAAGUGCCUCCCGAACUGGUGGACUUGAAUGACUCUGCCGUGGGAGGAAUGUGUAGUGUAGCGGUGAAAUGCUUAGAGAUUACACAGAACACCGAUUGCGAAGGCAUCUCACGAAGGGUUGAUUGACGCUGAGGCACGAAAGCGUGGGGAUCAAACAGGAUUAGAUACCCUGGUAGUCCACGCAGUAAACGAUGAUGGCUAACCGCUGGGCUUAUCAGUUCAGUGGCCAAGCGAAAGCGAUAAGCCAUCCACCUUGGGAGUACGACCGCAAGGUUGAAACUCAAAUGAAUUGACGGGG